RNAcentral lists this ribosomal RNA (131 nucleotides) under Tubakia japonica. RNAcentral describes it as "partial 18S ribosomal RNA". It matches the Rfam family "Eukaryotic small subunit ribosomal RNA", at positions 1703 to 1831 of the family's 1831-position model. The record is from RNAcentral. Lineage: Eukaryota; Fungi; Ascomycota; Sordariomycetes; Diaporthales; Tubakiaceae.
GAGGCGUUCGGACUGGCCCAGGGAGGUCGGCAACGACCACCCAGGGCCGGAAAGUUCUCCAAACUCGAUCAUUUAGAGGAAGUAAAAGUCGUAACAAGGUCUCCGUUGGUGAACCAGCGGAGGGAUCAUUG